AAGGUGACCGACCUUCGGGAGCUUGCACAGGUGCUGCAUGGCUGUCGUCAGCUCGUGUCGUGAGAUGUUCGGUUAAGUCCGCUAACGAGCGCAACCCUCGCUGUGUGUUAUAUGUGUCACACGGGACUGCCGGUCUUAAGCCGGAGGAAGGUGGGGAUGAUGUCAAGUCAGCAUGGCCUUUAUAUCCUGGGCUACACACACGCUACAAUGGCCAACACAAUAGGUUGCUAAGCCGCGAGGUGGCGCCAAUCCAUAAAGUUGGUCUCAGUUCAGAUUGUAGGCUGCAACCCGCCUGCAUGAAGAUGGAGUUGCUAGUAACCGCAGGUCAGCUAUACUGCGGUGAAUACGUUCCCGGGCUU
Molecule: ribosomal RNA, 359 nt
Filed under: uncultured Leptolinea sp.
Lineage: Bacteria; Bacillati; Chloroflexota; Anaerolineae; Anaerolineales; Anaerolineaceae
Description: bacterial SSU rRNA
Rfam family: Bacterial small subunit ribosomal RNA
Source: RNAcentral